This 435-nucleotide ribosomal RNA is filed under the name uncultured bacterium. RNAcentral's name for it is "partial 16S ribosomal RNA". It matches the Rfam family "Bacterial small subunit ribosomal RNA", at positions 28 to 507 of the family's 1533-position model. The record is from RNAcentral.
GAUGAACGCUGGCGGUAUGCUUAACACAUGCAAGUCGAACGGACUCUUCGGAGUUAGUGGCGGACGGGUGAGUAACGCGUGAGAAUCUUGCUUUGGGUUCGGGACAACCACUGGAAACGGUGGCUAAUACCGGAUGUGCCGAGAGGUAAAAGAGUAAUUUCCUGAAGAUGAGCUCGCGUCUGAUUAGCUAUUUGGUGAGGUAAAGGCUCACCAAGGCAGCGAUCAGUCGCUGGUCUGAGAGGAUGACCGGCCACACUGGGAAUGAGACACGGCCCAGACUACUCCUGCAGGAAGCGGUAGGGAAUUUCCCGGAAUGGGCGCAUGACUGACGAAGCACUACCGAGUGAGGAAAGAAGGCACUUGGGUAGUAAACCUCUUUACUUAACGAAGAACAAAAUGACGGUACCUAAGGAAUAAGCCUCGGCUAACUCCGUG